RNAcentral lists this transfer RNA (73 nucleotides) under Ameiurus melas (black bullhead). Its description in RNAcentral is "tRNA-Pro". Lineage: Eukaryota; Metazoa; Chordata; Actinopteri; Siluriformes; Ictaluridae. The record is from RNAcentral.
GGCUCGUUGGUCUAGGGGUAUGAUUCUUGCUUUGGGUGUGAGCGGUCCUUGGUUCACUCCCCAGACCGAGCCC